CUCGGGUUCGAUCCCCGGCAACGGCGCCAAAUUUGAUAUAGCUCAAAUCGCCUUAAGCUUACUCCCUCAAAUAAGA
Molecule: small RNA, 76 nt
Filed under: Arabidopsis thaliana (thale cress)
Lineage: Eukaryota; Viridiplantae; Streptophyta; Magnoliopsida; Brassicales; Brassicaceae
Description: ATSL090150
Source: RNAcentral